RNAcentral lists this ribosomal RNA (650 nucleotides) under uncultured Bacteroidales bacterium. RNAcentral's name for it is "bacterial SSU rRNA". It matches the Rfam family "Bacterial small subunit ribosomal RNA", at positions 47 to 686 of the family's 1533-position model. The record is from RNAcentral. Lineage: Bacteria; Pseudomonadati; Bacteroidota; Bacteroidia; Bacteroidales.
CUUAACACAUGCAAGUCGAGGGGCAGCAUGGUCUUAGCUUGCUAAGGCCGAUGGCGACCGGCGCACGGGUGAGUAACACGUAUCCAACCUGCCGUCUACUCUUGGACAGCCUUCUGAAAGGAAGAUUAAUACAAGAUGGCAUCAUGAGUCCGCAUGUUCACAUGAUUAAAGGUAUUCCGGUAGACGAUGGGGAUGCGUUCCAUUAGAUAGUAGGCGGGGUAACGGCCCACCUAGUCUUCGAUGGAUAGGGGUUCUGAGAGGAAGGUCCCCCACAUUGGAACUGAGACACGGUCCAAACUCCUACGGGAGGCAGCAGUGAGGAAUAUUGGUCAAUGGGCGAGAGCCUGAACCAGCCAAGUAGCGUGAAGGAUGACUGCCCUAUGGGUUGUAAACUUCUUUUAUAAAGGAAUAAAGUCGGGUAUGUAUACCCGUUUGCAUGUACUUUAUGAAUAAGGAUCGGCUAACUCCGUGCCAGCAGCCGCGGUAAUACGGAGGAUCCGAGCGUUAUCCGGAUUUAUUGGGUUUAAAGGGAGCGUAGAUGGAUGUUUAAGUCAGUUGUGAAAGUUUGCGGCUCAACCGUAAAAUUGCAGUUGAUACUGGAUAUCUUGAGUGCAGUUGAGGCAGGCGGAAUUCGUGGUGUAGCGGUGAAA